UGUCGCAAACUGAAGGCCACAGUAGAAGCACUGACCGUGCAUCCCUGUCAGAUUCCAAUGAAUCUGCAAAUUCUGCU
This 77-nucleotide ribozyme is filed under the name Crocodylus porosus (Australian saltwater crocodile). Its description in RNAcentral is "Mammalian CPEB3 ribozyme (ENSCPRG00005008011.1)". It matches the Rfam family "Mammalian CPEB3 ribozyme". Rfam says of the family: The mammalian CPEB3 ribozyme is a self cleaving RNA located in the second intron of the CPEB3 gene which belongs to a family of genes regulating messenger RNA polyadenylation. This ribozyme is highly conserved and found only in mammals. Lineage: Eukaryota; Metazoa; Chordata; Crocodylia; Crocodylidae. The record is from Rfam by way of RNAcentral.